Rhagoletis pomonella (apple maggot) is the source of this 1045-nucleotide long non-coding RNA. RefSeq lists it as uncharacterized. The record is from RefSeq and is a predicted model, not a curated record. NCBI's taxonomy places the organism in Eukaryota, Metazoa, Arthropoda, Insecta, Diptera, Tephritidae. The transcript is spliced from 2 exons.
UCUUCACUUGUUUUUUAGAUAUAUUUAUCAAAGUGUAAGUCAUAUUUUAUCAUCUCUAAUAUGCUAGUUGGGAUUUAUUGCCAAUUGGCUGGCCAAAUUAAAAUAUAAAUAAACGAUAAAGGUUCCUAAUAAUAAGAAAAUGAAAGAAAAAUAUUUUGGUUUUGUUUUUUCUUAGCGAAACUGUAAACAAAGGAUGAAAGAAUUGUCAACGAAAACUCUAACAGCCGGUGCGAACAGCUUACAGCACACAAUCCCAAAACUCGUUUUCAAAGUAUUUUCGUUGUCGGUCCGAACAUGGUAUAACAUUAUCUUGUGCAAAUUCGCCUUGCUAGUGAUAAAUAUCUGUAAAGAAACAAAGCUCCUGUGUGGUGUAUUCAAUAUUCAUUUUUUGGUGAAUUCUUUGGACAAUUGUCAAUUGCCCACAGAAAUUAUCAGGAAUUGCGGAAAGAGAUAUCCAGCUUAUAGGCAGAGUCAGCAGCAUACGUGGCGAUUUUCGGGAAAAAGUUUUCGUAGCGUUUUUGAUGUUUUUUGGUUUUGUUGACAUCGUCUUCAACCUCUUCAUAGUGAUUUUUUAGCGACUUGAUGUGUUUUCUGCAGCGAUUUAAACUAUAAAUUUUGAUUUAUUACGAAUAUAUGAUAUAAAUGAAGUGCUUUGUGAUUUGAACAAGUUUGUGCGUUGGUUUGGGUUGCAAAGAGGCGUAAAUUUGCGUGGAAAGUGGGUGCACUUUUGUGGUCAGAAAAAAUCGAACUGUGCUGAUGCUACGUGGUUGCAAAACACUUUCAUUUUUAUUCAGUUUCAGUUAUUAUAUUUGAUGAUAAAUGCCAAUAUAAUCGCACUCAACCUCCACGCAUUUUUCGUCUUCUUUGUUUGUUUUCAUUCUUUGGUUUUGUACUUAAAAUGACGACAUGUAUACUAAACCCUACCCUGUUUAUUUAUGUAUUUAUCAUUAAGAAUUUUCCAUUAAAAUAGAUACAGUUCAGUGUCUAACAAAAUACAUAUGUAUGUAUAAAAACGGAGAUAAUAAAAUGAAUGUUUUUAACUUAA